This is a long non-coding RNA of Carassius auratus (goldfish), 375 nucleotides long. RefSeq lists it as uncharacterized. Lineage: Eukaryota; Metazoa; Chordata; Actinopteri; Cypriniformes; Cyprinidae. The transcript has 4 exons. The record is from RefSeq and is a predicted model, not a curated record.
AAUUUCUCCCUUUUUUUACUUGCCUGUAAAUCUUUUGUAUCUGCUCUUAUGUCAGAUCAUUGCACUUUCUGCUGCGGUAAGUAAUCUUUUGAGCAAAUUAUAUCAGCAUUUAAAAUAUAUAUUUUUUAUUUUGCUAAGCUUUAACGUAUGCAUACUAUGUGAAGGUUGUAGAUCAGUUAUUUGAUUUGUUUUCUUACUAGAUUGUUGACUUUUUUCCACUGCCUCCUCCUCCCCACUGCCAAGUGUGGCCAUCAGCACCUUCAUUUGAGGUGCCAUUGAUGCUUUGGCUCUCUAUUCAGGUCAUUGCAUCCUGUGAUAUUGUUGUAGUCUUGCACUGUCUCCUUGCCAAGUGUUGCCAUCAGCACCAUUUAAAGG